GGACGCGUAGCCCAAUGGUAGGGCGUCUGACUUCGAAUCAGAAGGUUGAGGGUUCGAGUCCCUUCGCGUUCA
Cryptomeria japonica (Japanese cedar) is the source of this 72-nucleotide non-coding RNA. Lineage: Eukaryota; Viridiplantae; Streptophyta; Pinopsida; Cupressales; Cupressaceae. The record is from the annotation of a RefSeq genome assembly.